Long non-coding RNA from Panthera uncia (snow leopard), 1365 nucleotides. RefSeq lists it as uncharacterized. Lineage: Eukaryota; Metazoa; Chordata; Mammalia; Carnivora; Felidae. The record is from RefSeq and is a predicted model, not a curated record. The transcript has 5 exons.
CACACCCCAGGCCCCAAGGGGCCUUCACAGUGCCCCCGCCCCUCCUGCGGCUGGGCACACCCUCCACCCUGGCAGACGGACUCACGUGGACCAGAAGCCGGGCCUGGGCGUCCUGUACAACGUGUUUCUCUAUCUGGAGUUGUGCAGUGCACCGCCUGCACAGUCAUACACAGAAGCCCAGCGCAGUCUCAAGGCAGGUCGAGGUUGUGCAGAACAGCACCAAAGCCAGAAUCAGUGGAGGUACCCUAACCUCCUCUGUGGACCUUCACACGGCAUGAGUCAUGACUAGUCAUUACUAGGAACUACGAGCAGUUCUGAACGCCUGGUGCACCUCUAAGCAGUCGUGUGCAUCCACCCACUUAAUCCAAGAGAGAGGCUAUGAUCACCCUCGUUGUAUAGAUUAGUGCGGGAGGCUUGGUGAGGUCACACAAGCCUCCGAGGUGGCAGGGACCGGAGGACAUCCUGGCCACCGGAGUCUGGCCACCAGACUCCAGAUGCAGAACUGGAGAUCCAGUCAUCCUAGGCCACCUCCCAGUCAGCAGAGGCUCCCUCUUGCUUUCUGACCUCAAAUCCCAGACCACAUCCGGGGUGAACCCGGCCAGGAGAGAAAAUGCUGGGUUGCCUUGGAGACACAGGAAUCUCUUCUGACGAGGUGUUACCUGUCUCUUGUAUUCGAACUUCAAGAAGCAGAAGUCUCCAUGCACCUGUGACCCAAAGACAGUGGGUCAAGUCUUCCCCGGCCCCCUGAGGACCGCCCCCUCCAGGGGGGCAGGACAUACUGGCCGUGGACAAGCACAGGGGCCGUAGCACGCGGUGCCCGGGCAGAGCCAGGGCGGGCUGAGGCGUCACAGUGGCAGCAUCGUCACUCAGGACAAGCGGCACAGCAGACGGUUCAGCAAACGCAUUGCCCUGCAGUUGGAAGACCUCAGUGGAAAUAGACGACACAUCAGCCCCACGACACUUGGAAUAAAGAUGCUGUCGCAGAUGCUCCGUCUGGACCCUGACUCUCGAGCUCUGUGGACCCCGGAAGUCCUAGCUCUGCGUCCAGCCAAUGCAAACCUCCUGUCCCACAGGGCUCCCGACAGGUGACCAUGUGGCAAUGGUCUGUAAGGACUGCUAAUUGUUCUCUGAGGCCCGCCCCUUUCUCUCCUUCUCUCUGGACCUCACAGCUCUUGAAUGAUCUAAAGGCGUCCCUGUUUUCUGAGCAUUUCUUACAGCCUCUCCUUUGUCUCAGCCUCUAAUCACGCCCGCAUGUGGGGCUCUAAUCUCCCCACAGUGCCGUCAGCCUGCCCCCAGCCCCAAGUCAUCUUAAAGAUCUUGCCCUCCCUGGGGUCCCCUCCCGCAUCCACACACCCGCGGCCACGU